UACAGAGGUCUCAAGCGUUGUUCGGAUUCACUGGGCGUAAAGGGCGCGUAGGUGGCGGCCCAAGUCCGUGGUGAAAGCUCGCCGCUUAACGGCGAGUCGGCCACGGAGACUGGGUGGCUCGAGCACUGUAGGGGCAGAUGGAAUUCCGGGUGUAGCGGUGGAAUGCGUAGAGAUCCGGAAGAACACCAGUGGCGGAGGCGGUCUGCUGGGCAGUUGCUGACACUGAGGCGCGACAGCGUGGGGAGCAAACAGG
Molecule: ribosomal RNA, 253 nt
Filed under: uncultured bacterium
Lineage: Bacteria
Description: partial 16S ribosomal RNA
Rfam family: Bacterial small subunit ribosomal RNA
Source: RNAcentral